UACGGAGGAUCCGAGCGUUAUCCGGAUUUAUUGGGUUUAAAGGGAGCGUAGGUGGAUUGUUAAGUCAGUUGUGAAAGUUUGCGGCUCAACCGUAAAAUUGCAGUUGAAACUGGCAGUCUUGAGUACAGUAGAGGUGGGCGGAAUUCGUGGUGUAGCGGUGAAAUGCUUAGAUAUUACGAAGAACUCCGAUUGCGAAGGCAGCUCACUGGACUGCAACUGACGCUGAGGCGCGAAAGCGUGGGGAGCAAACAGG
Molecule: ribosomal RNA, 253 nt
Filed under: uncultured bacterium
Lineage: Bacteria
Description: partial 16S ribosomal RNA
Rfam family: Bacterial small subunit ribosomal RNA
Source: RNAcentral